RNAcentral lists this unclassified non-coding RNA (239 nucleotides) under uncultured Russula. RNAcentral's name for it is "sequence contains ITS2". Lineage: Eukaryota; Fungi; Basidiomycota; Agaricomycetes; Russulales; Russulaceae. The record is from RNAcentral.
CAUCAUCAAACCUUUCUUGGUCUCUUGAUUGAGAAAGGCUUUGGACUUUGGAGGUUUUCUUUUGCUGGCAUCCCCCUUGAAGGAUGCCAGCUCCUCUUAAAUGAAUUAGUGGGGUCCACUUUGCAGAUCCCUCGACGUUGAUAAGAUGUUUCUACGUCUUGGAAUUUGCUCUGUUCGUUGGGAACCUGCUUCUAACUGUCUCUUCAGAGACUUUGUUCGAGUAUGCCUCGACCCACAAA